This 480-nucleotide ribosomal RNA is filed under the name uncultured Gammaproteobacteria bacterium. RNAcentral's name for it is "bacterial SSU rRNA". It matches the Rfam family "Bacterial small subunit ribosomal RNA", at positions 30 to 505 of the family's 1533-position model. The record is from RNAcentral. Lineage: Bacteria; Pseudomonadati; Pseudomonadota; Gammaproteobacteria.
AUUGAACGCUGGCGGCAGGCCUAACACAUGCAAGUCGGGCGGUAACAGAGAUAGCUUGCUAUCUGCUGACGAGCGGCGGACGGGUGAGUAAUGCUUGGGGAUCUGCCAUAGGGUGGGGGAUAACCAUUGGAAACGAUGGCUAAUACCGCAUGAUAGCUACGGCUCAAAGGCUGCUUCGGCAGUCGCCCAAUGAUGAACCCAAGUGGGAUUAGCUAGUUGGUAAGGUAACGGCUUACCAAGGCAACAAUCCCUAGCUGGUCUGAGAGGAUGAUCAGCCACACUGGGACUGAGACACGGCCCAGACUCCUACGGGAGGCAGCAGUGGGGAAUAUUGGACAAUGGGCGCAAGCCUGAUCCAGCCAUGCCGCGUGUGUGAAGAAGGCCUUAGGGUUGUAAAGCACUUUCAGUCGUGAGGAAAGUUGUUGUGUUAAUAGCGCAAUGAUGUGACGUUAGCGACAGAAGAAGCACCGGCUAACUCCG